GAUGAACGCUGGCGGCGUGCCUAAUACAUGCAAGUCGAGCGAAUGGAUUAAGAGCUUGCUCUUAUGAAGUUAGCGGCGGACGGGUGAGUAACACGUGGGUAACCUGCCCAUAAGACUGGGAUAACUCCGGGAAACCGGGGCUAAUACCGGAUAACAUUUUGAGCCGCAUGGUUCGAAAUUGAAAGGCGGCUUCGGCUGUCACUUAUGGAUGGACCCGCGUCGCAUUAGCUAGUUGGUGAGGUAACGGCUCACCAAGGCAACGAUGCGUAGCCGACCUGAGAGGGUAAUCGACCACACUGGGACGGAGACACGGCCCAGACUCCUACGGGAGGCAGCAGUAGGGAAUCUUCCGCAAUGGACGAAAGUCUGACGGAGCAACGCCGCGUGAGUGAUGAAGGCUUUCGGGUCGUAAAACUCUGUUGUUAGGGAAGAACAAGUGCUAGUUGAAUAAGCUGGCACCUUGACGGUACCUAACCAGAAAGCCACGGCUAACUACGUGCCAGCCGCCGCCGUAA
This 515-nucleotide ribosomal RNA is filed under the name uncultured bacterium. Its description in RNAcentral is "partial 16S ribosomal RNA". It matches the Rfam family "Bacterial small subunit ribosomal RNA", at positions 28 to 523 of the family's 1533-position model. The record is from RNAcentral.